GUUUGUCAAUUUCGUAAGCAGGGAAGAUGCACAGCGAGCUAUCAGCACCUUGAACGGGUAUGGUUAUGAUAACCUCAUCCUGAGAGUUGAAUGGGCCACUCCUAGGCCCAGUUAGAUCCGUUUUUCUCUUGUUUAAAUUAUUUUCUGUAAAAACUAAAGAUGAUUAAAUGCAUGUGUAUGCUUCGUAUAUUAUUAAACUCGUGUUUGCAAUUAAAAAAAAAAACUUUAAACUUCCAUUAGCAGCUUAAUUUACCCAAAUACCCUUAAUUUCCCGGGAAAACCAAAGAAACGAUAAUUAGUAUCAUUAUGCUUCUGAGAUUCCGAUAGAUAGAUGAAGAAGCUCUUCGUAGGAGGCAAUCUUCUCAGAAGCUCUAGUUUCUUCAAGAUCUC
RNAcentral lists this long non-coding RNA (390 nucleotides) under Brassica napus (rape). RNAcentral describes it as "long non-coding RNA (BNAP_LNC008979)". Lineage: Eukaryota; Viridiplantae; Streptophyta; Magnoliopsida; Brassicales; Brassicaceae. The record is from RNAcentral.